This 251-nucleotide ribosomal RNA is filed under the name uncultured bacterium. RNAcentral describes it as "partial 16S ribosomal RNA". It matches the Rfam family "Bacterial small subunit ribosomal RNA", at positions 525 to 775 of the family's 1533-position model. The record is from RNAcentral.
ACGUAUGGUGCAAGCGUUAUCCGGAUUUACUGGGUGUAAAGGGAGCGCAGGCGGUACGGCAAGUCUGAUGUGAAAGCCCGGGGCUCAACCCCGGUACUGCAUUGGAAACUGUCGGACUAGAGUGUCGGAGGGGUAAGCGGAAUUCCUAGUGUAGCGGUGAAAUGCGUAGAUAUUAGGAGGAACACCAGUGGCGAAGGCGGCUUACUGGACGAUUACUGACGCUGAGGCUCGAAAGCGUGGGGAGCAAACAG